RNAcentral lists this long non-coding RNA (986 nucleotides) under Cucumis sativus (cucumber). RNAcentral describes it as "long non-coding RNA (CSAT_LNC002828)". Lineage: Eukaryota; Viridiplantae; Streptophyta; Magnoliopsida; Cucurbitales; Cucurbitaceae. The record is from RNAcentral.
GUAAACUGGUGGUGGGGGAGAGUGAUAAAUUGGAGGAGGAGAGUAAUAAACUGGAGGAGGUGGUGAUUUAUACUCGUACUUUUUUGGUGGGGGAGGCGAAUAAUAAACUGGAGGGGGUGGAGAUUUAUAAACUGGUGGUGGUGGAGAGUGGUAAACAGGUGGUGGAGGAGAAUGGUAGACUGGAGGCGGUGGAGAUUUAUAAACUGGAGGUGGUGGAGAGUGGUAAACAGGUGGUGGAGGAGAAUGGUAAACUGGAGGGGGUGGAGAUUUAUAAACUGGAGGUGGUGGAGAGUGGUAAACAGGUGGUGGAGGAGAAUGGUAGACUGGAGGCGGUGGAGAUUUAUAAACUGGUGGUGGUGGAGAGUGGUAAACAGGUGGUGGAGGAGAAUGGUAAACUGGAGGGGGUGGAGAUUUAUAAACAGGUGGUGGUGGAGAGUGGUAAACAGGUGGUGGAGGAGAAUGGUAAACUGGUGGGGGUGGAGAUUUGUAAACUGGUGGUGGAGGAGAAUGGUAAACUGGUGGGGGUGGAGAUUUAUAAACGGGAGGUGGUGGAGAGUGGUAAACAGGUGGUGGAGGAGAAUAGUAAACUGGAGGGGGUGGAGAUUUGUAAACUGGUGGUGGAGGAGAAUGGUAAACUGGUGGGGGUGGAGAUUUAUAAACUGGAGGUGGUGGAGAGUAAACAGGUGGUGGAGGAGAAUGGUAAACUGGAGGUGGUGGAGAGUGAUAAAUAGGUGGUGGAGGAGAGUGGUAAACCGGAGGUGGUGGUGAUUUGUACUCAUACUUCACUUUUGGUGGCGGAGGAGAGGAAUAGACAGGAGGAGGAGGUGAUUUGUAUACAUAAUAAGGAGGUGGAGGAGAAGAAUAGACAUACUCAGCAGCAAGUACGGAUGGCAAACUUAGAGUCGCCACCAAAAUGGUUGCCAAAAGAUAGGCCAUGAGAGAGGGCCUAGAUUUCCUCAUAUUUCUUCCACAAUGGGAUUUUGGUU